Helianthus annuus (common sunflower) is the source of this 566-nucleotide long non-coding RNA. RefSeq lists it as uncharacterized. NCBI's taxonomy places the organism in Eukaryota, Viridiplantae, Streptophyta, Magnoliopsida, Asterales, Asteraceae. The transcript has 4 exons. The record is from RefSeq and is a predicted model, not a curated record.
ACACACAUCAGAUGUGUGUGUGUGUUCGACGCCAGAGCCAAGAGAAGAAGGGGAACCCUUUCUAAUCACACAAAUUCAUCCAAUUGAAGCCCUAAUCAUGGCCAUUGCUCAUGCAUGUUGGUGAUUUCUUGAUCAUCUAGACUUACUAAAGCUUAAGGAACGUGUCAAGGAGAGCUCAAGCAUAGGAGGAUAACGGGUCAAGAUAAGGCAAGGUGACAAAUACACUUAUUGGAGUACUCAAGGUAAUGCAGGAAUGAGAACGACGGAUUCUCGUGGAAUGGAAGCUGAACUCGGAACGAGAGAAUCCGAGAGAAUAGUCGGAUAAAUCAAAGUUCACGUACUACUCGGACUUCUUCUACCUUUAAGGAUGAUAAGCGGGCGUGGAUCGAGUCGAAGAGCAAGGAUUGUACGGAAAGAACGGCUACAUAGUUUGAAAUACGUAAUGCUUUGAAGCGUUAAUUUAAUGUAAAUAUUGUAAACCUCUUCCAGUAAAUGCUUAACAUUUUCGUAUUUGAGCUUUUAUGUAAGUAAUGUGUCUAAUAAAGAAAGAAAUUUCAAGGCUCGUA